GUUGUAAAACGACGUUAUGCAUGAACGUAAUGCUCAUAACUUCCCUCUAGACCUAGCUGCUGUCGAAGCUCCAUCCAUAAAUGGAUAAGACCCGGUCUUAGUGUAUACGAGUUUUUUUGAAACAAAAAGGAGCAAUAACCUUUUUCUUGGUCUAUCAAGAGGGCGGUAUUGCUCCUUUUUUUAUUUAGUAGUAUUUCACUUACCUAGUUUCUUUAAAUAAAUUUAAAGAAACGUCGUUUUCUUUUUAUCGGUUGGUUCAUGAGUGAGUAUCAUGCUUUCGUUUUGUAUUAAUCAUUAAUCUAUAAUUUAGCUACUUCUUCCCAAUCUUUUGGGAAGUAUUUUCUUAAAAGAAAAGAUAAAAAUGUUGCACUUUUGACUUAGUUAAUACUUAAUCUUUUUAUCUCGAAAAUAAUAAAGAAAUAGAAAAAAUCAUGAAUGUUAAAAAUUUAAUCUUUUGAAACGUAAGGAAUAGUAGGGGGCGGAUGUAGCCAAGUGGAUCAAGGCAGUGGAUUGUGAAUCCACCAUGCGCGCC
RNAcentral lists this unclassified non-coding RNA (532 nucleotides) under Astrotricha latifolia. RNAcentral describes it as "partial miscellaneous RNA". The record is from RNAcentral. Lineage: Eukaryota; Viridiplantae; Streptophyta; Magnoliopsida; Apiales; Araliaceae.